GUGGGGAAUUUUGGACAAUGGGGGCAACCCUGAUCCAGCCAUGCCGCGUGCGGGAAGAAGGCCUUCGGGUUGUAAACCGCUUUUGUCAGGGAAGAAAUCCUUUGGGUUAAUACCUCGGAGGGAUGACGGUACCUGAAGAAUAAGCACCGACUAACUACGUGCCAGCAGCCGCGGUAAUACGUAGGGUGCGGGCGUUAAUCGGAAUUACUGGGCGUAAAGCGUGCGCAGGCGGUUUUGUAAGAUCGAUGUGAAAUCCCCGGGCUCAACCUGGGAACUGCAUUGGUGACUGCAAGGCUGGAGUGCGGCAGAGGGGGAUGGAAUUCCGCGUGUAGCAGUGAAAUGCGUAGAUAUGCGGAGGAACACCGAUGGCGAAGGCAAUCCCCUGGGCCUGCACUGACGCUCAUGCACGAAAGCGUGGGGAGCAAACAGGAUUAGAAACCCCAGUAGUCC
RNAcentral lists this ribosomal RNA (450 nucleotides) under uncultured bacterium. RNAcentral describes it as "partial 16S ribosomal RNA". It matches the Rfam family "Bacterial small subunit ribosomal RNA", at positions 354 to 796 of the family's 1533-position model. The record is from RNAcentral.